Molecule: non-coding RNA, 135 nt
Filed under: uncultured eukaryote
Lineage: Eukaryota
Source: RNAcentral
AACACAUAAUAAAUAAAAAUUGAGUAUUUGUCCAUUUUUUUUUUUCUUUCUUUCUUUUCUUUUUUGUAUGUUACGUUAUGUCUUGGUAUGUUUUUUUUCUUAACUACGACUUCCUUUUAGAAAAAUGGGGCAGCA